Molecule: non-coding RNA, 6283 nt
Organism: Coturnix japonica (Japanese quail)
Lineage: Eukaryota; Metazoa; Chordata; Aves; Galliformes; Phasianidae
Source: RefSeq, a predicted model, not a curated record
UCUCCUGUUUUGGAGAUAAAUAGCAUGGGGCCCCUCUGGGAGUCACACUUGCCAAAAGCUGCCCCAGCCUCUAAUUGUUUCCUUGAUGUGUGUAAAGAAGUGUAAAAAAUAAAACUUUGGGGUUUGUGGCAUCUCUGACUGGAACAAGCUGUUUAGAAAUGCAUCCUCUGAGACACUGAAUCAUUGUUUUUUACCCCAAGGCACUAAAACCCCAAACACCCUGACACUGUUCAAGAAUAAUACAAAUACAAAAAGCAUCUGUUUUGUCACCAGAGCAGUCCUGCAUGCGUAGACAUUAAGACUAAAACAGGUGAUGCAAACAGUUCAAGGAGCUUUGUUUGUAAUUUCCCUUUCAUAAAAAUACUUUUUCCUGGAGGUCUGAGCAGAAGGUUAGACCAUAUCCAGAGCUUUCAAGGAAAAUCCACUGUGACAGGAGUAAUUUUGUCACUAUAUCUGGAUGCGGAUAUCAGUGUUGUCUUUUAUUGAUGUUUGGACAUAUUAGCCCAAUAAUAAUAUCAUACAAGAUGUAGGUGUGAAUUUAGUGUGUGGCACAGGGGAUCUCUAACCCUAUGUGGAGCUUGUGGGGUUAGAGAGGUAAUAACAUCACCAUAUUUUAGUGAGGAGACGUGCAGGCUGUUAGUGGUGACAGGCAUCUAGGAGGCUGGGGACUGUGACCUGCCCAUGGAGAGCUUAAUCAGAAUGCAAAGAUCUUUUAGGAACUUACCCUGGAACCAUGGGCCCCUGGUGAGAGGAGGGCAGAAGCUGGAACAGGGGCUGCUUCUGGCAGCCUGUCUGACGGAAGGGCAGGCAAUUUGGAAGGAGAGAUUGUGUCCGGGUGUCAAGCCAGUAAUCCCUUUGAUUCUGUCUAUCAAUCAGUUCCCAAAACAAUGUAUUUACAUUUCUAAAAAUGCAGAAUUGACUGGGGUGCUUUUGGGCAAGGGAGAAAGAAAAGGCGAGCUGUAUUCCUCUGCUUCUCUGUAAUUCCAGCCUUCUUUCACAGCCAUAAAUCUUCCUCAGAAGGCUUUGAAAGUCUUUUUGAGCAUUAAAAGCUUGGGUGGUCAGGGUCAGGUGAGUUCCUUCCUCCCUCCUUCCCCAGACAAUGAGUGCUUUUAAGAGGCCUACCCUUCUAGUUAGAUUUCCUUAUCUGUCCUUUUUAUAUUCCUCUUCCCCACAGGAAACAAAGCAGUGCAUACAACAGACUAGGGACUGUAUAAUUCCUAAUGCAGAUUUAAAAGAGAAAAAUCUUUUCUUGCAUGUUCCCAGAAGAUAGGAUCAGUAUCCAGUGAACCCAGGUAGACAUAGAUGCAAUCAUGACUGCAUGUUACUGUGUUGCACACCUGAGAAUGUGUUGCAUAGAAAACCAGCACCAAUAAAUAGGUUCUGAAAGAAUAAAUGCUCUGAUCCUUAAGUACCAGAAAUCUUUCCUGAGCCACAUUCAGGUCCUGUUCCACUCACAUGAAGUUUGUGCUUCUUAUAAUAGGCAUGUGACAAUUCUACUCUACUCAUGUGUGUCCAAUUUUGAAUACCUGCUUUGAUCUGUGAAUGAAUAGCACAUGCUGUUGCAGAUAAUAGGACAUGUUAUGCAUUUUGGCAGACAGUGGCUUGAAAACAAUGUUUUGUUCCUACAAUGAUUUUAAAGCUACAGGACCAUGCUCUGAGCAGGAACGGUACCUUUUUUUCCUGUUGGUUACAUUAAAAAUCUCUUACGUACCUCUGUAAGAAUGCUGUAGACAACAGUUUCUCAAAGAUUAAACUGGAAUCUGCAGCACAUAUAUCACGUUAAUUCCUUUGACUUUUAAUGUUUUUAUCUCCCUAUUAUUGUCUUAUAUUGACAAAAUGUCUGUACCUUUGAAAAUGAAGGUCUGAUUAUUAGGACCCUUCCUAGACAGGUCUUGUCCAUAUUACGAAAUGGGAACAAGGUUUAAUCACAAUUACUUGCCAGGCUGAAUAUGAUUUGCUCUGAUCUACAGUGACAGGUCAGUUAUGGUCAUCGUUAUGUCACAUCUCGAUGCAACAAAAUUUCGUAAUGAAAGCAAGUCCAUGAAUAGUGAGUUUUUGCAAAAAGGAUGCACCAUUUGUUUUGUAUGUGGUACUGUGUGUACUGUAAGACACAGAAAGAGACAGUAAAAGCUGUGAAUAUUCAAGCUGUACUUUACUGCUAAAUGUCCUGUUAGAGGCUUCAUUAUCAGUGAACAGUUUUUAGGAGAGCUGUUCCUUUAGUGGGGUCUAAAAAGCUGGGUCCUUUCAGUAGUAUUCUCAAAAGGAAACUUCCUGAAACCACAUGGAUUUCUGGUUCUCUCAGAAUAGACAUCACAUUUUUAAUGUGAGCUGGGACAGUGCCAGAGUUACCUGUCUGCAAGAUUAAUUCAUAACUCUACAGAGAGCCUUACCUUGUAAAUUUAAACUGAGUUGAGUAUUGGAUUCUAAAUUCCAUUUGUUUCAGCAAGACUUUGGAUCUAAAUAACCAUAUAUAUUUCAGGAUUUUAGAAUCUGAGAAUUUGUCUUAUUGAAGACGCUGUAUCUUUUCAGCUACCUUUUGUAUUUGAAUUCAUUCAUAUAAUGAAACUAUAAGAACAGGGUGAAUAUUUACAAAGUUGGAGUUCCCAAUGGUACUAUGAUUCUAUGAUGAUCCUAUGGCACAGAUGCCUGGAAGAAGGUAAAUGUGGAUAGAUCAUGUUCAGCACCUCCUGAAAAUGUACUGCUUCCAGCAGAGCACAGAAGAACAGUAACACCCAAACUGUCAUUUUGAAAUGGGAAUAGGAUGCUGAGUAAGAAAAAAGUAAGUACCUGCAGGUAAGCAGGUGGACUAGAAAAACUUCCCACAUAUUGUCUGUUUCUAUUUGCUCCUGUUUACAUUUAGGUCUUUCCUAUAACCCAGCUGCAUAAAAAAACAUCCUGUCAGGCUCAGUUCCUGUUGUUCCACUAGUUCUGGUCUAAUUACCUGUAUUUAUUAAAGGCCACAAAAAAAAAAAAAAAAAACCACCUACUAAAAAGCUAUUCAAAAAAUGCUCAAAACCUAGUCUGCCUUUAAAUAAGACUGCUUCUGGUAACUAUUUCAAGUCCUGAACAGUGUUUGAGUAUGAUUUACUCCCAGAAUUGAUGCUAAGCACUUGCUUUGCUGUUUAGUGACUCAGCUGGCUUUGCUGUUUAGUGACUCAAGCAGGAAUAACAAAUCAAGGUCAAUACUGUGAUACAAUCUAUUAGUAUAAGAGUUCUGACUUGCACAAAGCUUAGCCUUGACCUGUUUGGUAGCCCAUGGUACAUGAAGGCAUGUGGCCAAGAUCCACCUCACUUCCAGCACAGUGACCAUGGCCAAGAGCUGCCUCUGUACCACAUGAGGAGCCCAAGUUCCCACCUCUGACCUUCUGAGCCGCCUUUACCUCUGCCUUGUUCCACCUUGCCCUGAAACUGCUGCAGUGCAGCUGCUCUCAGCUCAGGAUGCUCUCAGCAACCAGUGGCUGCAUUCCCACUGCAAACUCUGCUAGCAGUUCCCUUUCUAGUGUUCUCUGGGAAAAUAGUUAUGUCCUACUGUAUUGUCAGUUCCUUUCUAAUGACUCUAAUAUUUUCAAGGGAAUGGAGAAAGAUGCUUCUGCUUUGGGUGUAUGGAAACUACAGAAUGCUUAGAAUAUACAUCGGGAUAAGAAAUCCUAGUGCUAUGUUGAUGGUGGGAAGAAAUUGAUAAUGAGCUCGUUCUUGGAUUGGAGAGUUUUCUUGAAUCCGAAUGCCAGCAAGGCUAUUUGAAAAGAAUAAAAGAAUAAUUAGAUUUGCUUGUGGAUUUCCUUUUUUCUUUUUGUUUGAUUAUUAUUUUAUUUAACCCUUUGAAUUUAUGAAAGUUGAAGGCAAAGCCUGACUAAUGUCUUUCUCUGUCAUUCACAGCAAAGCAGUAGGAAACAAUGUCACGUGUAUUGGAUAAAGAAUAACUGCAGCAGCCCUUAAAUGCUCGUGUCAAACUGGUGCCUUCUUCCCCCAGAACCAACCACAGCUCUUGCUGAAGCAGUCAGGCUGAGCUGUGUUUUUACAGUCCCUAAGCAAAGCUGAAGCUGCACAAAAGGGAUUUAGCUGAGCGUAAGCUGCUGCCCAUGAAACACCUCAUUUUUUCUUCAACAGCUUUCCAGCCCUGAGCAGCACUGGAUCAAACUGCAGUGUUGAUUUUCCUGAGCAGCAGCAGCAGCCCCAGCAGCCAUCCCUUCUCUGAGCCUGAAGGUCUGUGUUUCCUGAAUCAACACAUCCAGCACUUAGCUUUUCUUCCUGCUGUUACUCAGAUCACAGCCCUGAUCACAUUGUGGACUACACACAUCACUUAUGCUGCUGGUACGUGUUUUGUAGUCAUGAGAACAGCAAGCAGACAAUUCACUAAAUUUUGUAAUUGAUCACUAACGGAUGUGGUAAAGCUCUCCAUCAGUCUGAGUCCCUAAAUCAGAGCUGGCUGUCUUUCAGAAAGGGAUGGUCAUACUCAGCUGGAAUAGAUUGGGGUGGUACAGAAAUAAUAGGGCAAAACAAUGGUAUGGCUGCUUCUAUGCAGGAGAUAAGUUUAAAUACUGGUGUCUUUAGGUCUUACAUUUAUUUAUUUUUUUCACAAGGAAGGUGGUAUGUACAUCCAUCAGCCUAUAUGGUAGCCUGCAACUGGGUGUUAACUCUUUCAUUUAUGUAGAGCUGUGAAGCUCUGGGUAGAGCUGUUGUUCUGUCUCCCAAGCUCCUGUUCAGAAAAAGAUCUUAAAACGCAUUGUUUCAUGUUAAAAAAAAAAUAAAAUAAAAUGUAUCAGUCUUUUGCUUCCAGCAUCAGGUGUAGAAGGACAGCCCUUCUCUUCCUUCACUUACAGAGCAGUUAUUUUGCACAGCUUGCUAGGUAAGGACAGGCCAGCACACUUGUAUUGGUGCCAGGAAUAUUGCUGCUGAUUGAGAUCACCGAACCAUGUCAGAGCUCAGCUGCAUCCAUGUCAGAGAAGCAUGUCUGAGACUAGUUACAGCUAACAAGCCUCUAUUUGACAGGGAAAAAAUAUAAAAUAAAAAGACCAGAGUGAGAUUUAUGACAAUUUCAAGAACAGAAUAAGCAAUAUGAACAGAUGAGCCCCUUAUAAUGGUGUGGUCCUCUUUACAUGCAAGUAUUUUCUAUGGCUAGAAAAUGAGAAAUUCUGAAAGUAACAGAAAGAGCUGCUACAAGCUCUUCAUGUAAAGUUUUUCUUCAUUUCCAUGGGAUUCUGUUGAAUGGUUGAAAACAUAAAAAGGAAGAUCAGAAACUGCUUGCAACACAAAGCAAAACGUAAGUGCCAAGAACAUACUCUGGAUUUUUGUGUAAGAUGUCUGGUUCUUAUCUCAGCCCUGAUUCAUCACAGUUUACUCUCAGAGUUAUUCAGAAUUCAACGACCUUGCUCCUUUGGGGUUAAUGGGUCAUGUUCAGCACAGAAACCCAUGACACAAAGCACUGUUUAAUUAUUCGGUCCAGUCUGGUUUUGUUGGUUAAUGGAAAUAAAAAUAGCAAGAGGAACAAUUAUAUUGUUUUACAUGACUUACAUUUUGUAGGUGAAUUUUUAUUUAUUUAUUUAUUUAUUUAUUUAUUUAUUUUCUGUUAACCAUGUAAUCAAAGUUUGCACAUAGGAAGGAGUAGCCAUGUAAAGGAGGGGUUGGUCUGCUUGUGACAUGGAGGAUCAGCCUAAAGAGGAAGAAAAGGAAAGCACCACCAUAAACAUGACAGUAGAAGUAAGCUGAAAACAUACAAGGCUAGAAAUCUUAUCAUAUUGGGAGUCUUGCUAUUCUAAAGCAGGAUCUGUGGGGAAGAAGCUACAGCCCUUGUUGGCUCACAUCGCUUUUUUUAUACGUGGGGAAAAAAAAAUGCUGAAGUGAUAUAAUUACCAUAUUUAUUCUCUCUGUUCAAGAGAUGAGGUGGUUUUCCACCCCGAAUUCAGUUCAAUCAGCCACUGUAGUACCAGCUAGGAACUAAUGCCACAAGAUGCAGCCACAAAUGCAUUGUCUCACACUUCAAAUGCACCAUAAAGGAUGUAAAGGCACAUUACAGAUGGAGGAGCACUGAAGUGUCAUGCAGCAUUCCUGUUACAAGGAAUUUGUACGUAGCUAACCAAGGAUACAGUGUAAAAUAAACAUCGUCAAAGGUGUACUGCCCCAAUAGCUAACAAAGCCAGUUUGGAGCGAUGGUUCUAAACAUGGGUUUUCUAUGAAGGCUCAGGCUUAACAUAUGAUUAUCUGAGCUCUGUUUGGAUGGCAUGCUGUGGCACUAGGUUGGAAAUAGGCAGGUCAAAGAAAUAAAUAAGAUCAUUUCAAGCCAAAA